ACGAACGCUGGCGGCGUGCUUAACACAUGCAAGUCGAACGGAAAGGCCCUGCUUUUGUGGGGUGCUCGAGUGGCGAACGGGUGAGUAACACGUGAGUAACCUGCCCUUGACUUUGGGAUAACUUCAGGAAACUGGGGCUAAUACCGGAUAGGAGCUCCUGCUGCAUUGUGGGGGUUGGAAAGUUUCGGCGGUGGGGGAUGGACUCGCGGCUUAUCAGCUUGUUGGUGGGGUAGUGGCUUACCAAGGCUUUGACGGGUAGCCGGCCUGAGAGGGUGACCGGCCACAUUGGGACUGAGAUACGGCCCAGACUCCUACGGGAGGCAGCAGUGGGGAAUAUUGCACAAUGGGCGGAAGCCUGAUGCAGCAACGCCGCGUGCGGGAUGACGGCCUUCGGGUUGUAAACCGCUUUCGCCUGUGACGAAGCGUGAGUGACGGUAAUGGGUAAAGAAGCACCGGCUAACUACGUG
RNAcentral lists this ribosomal RNA (467 nucleotides) under uncultured bacterium. RNAcentral's name for it is "partial 16S ribosomal RNA". It matches the Rfam family "Bacterial small subunit ribosomal RNA", at positions 29 to 507 of the family's 1533-position model. The record is from RNAcentral.